UACGGAGGGUGCGAGCGUUGUCCGGAAUCACUGGGCGUAAAGGGCGCGUAGGCGGCGCGGGCAGUCAACGGUGAAAGCUCGGAGCUCAACUCCGAGUCGGCCGUCGAUACUCCCGUGCUUGAGCACUGUAGAGGCAGGUGGAAUUCCGGGUGUAGCGGUGGAAUGCGUAGAGAUCCGGAAGAACACCGGUGGCGAAGGCGGCCUGCUGGGCAGUAACUGACGCUGAGGCGCGACAGCCUGGGGAGCAAACAGG
This 253-nucleotide ribosomal RNA is filed under the name uncultured bacterium. Its description in RNAcentral is "partial 16S ribosomal RNA". It matches the Rfam family "Bacterial small subunit ribosomal RNA", at positions 524 to 776 of the family's 1533-position model. The record is from RNAcentral.